Molecule: ribosomal RNA, 203 nt
Filed under: uncultured bacterium
Lineage: Bacteria
Description: partial 16S ribosomal RNA
Rfam family: Bacterial small subunit ribosomal RNA
Source: RNAcentral
GUAGGCUGCAACUCGCCUACACGAAGCUGGAAUCGCUAGUAAUCGCGGAUCAGCACGCCGCGGUGAAUACGUUCCCGGGCCUUGUACACACCGCCCGUCACACCAUGAGAGUCUGUAACACCCAAAGCCGGUGGGAUAACCUUUAUAGGAGUCAGCCGUCUAAGGUAGGACAGAUGAUUAGGGUGAAGUCGUAACAAGGUAGC